This 882-nucleotide ribosomal RNA is filed under the name Corollospora maritima. RNAcentral's name for it is "eukaryotic LSU rRNA". It matches the Rfam family "Eukaryotic large subunit ribosomal RNA", at positions 49 to 959 of the family's 3401-position model. The record is from RNAcentral. Lineage: Eukaryota; Fungi; Ascomycota; Sordariomycetes; Microascales; Halosphaeriaceae.
AGCGGAGGAAAAGAAACCAACAGGGAUUGCCCCAGUAACGGCGAGUGAAGCGGCAACAGCUCAAAUUUGAAAUCUGGCCCCCUAGGGGGUCCGAGUUGUAAUUUGCAGAGGAUGCUUUUGGCGAGGCGCCGGCCGAGUGCCCUGGAAUGGGACGCCGUAGAGGGUGAGAGCCCCGUACGGCCGGACGUCGAGCCUCUGUAAAGCUCCCUCGACGAGUCGAGUAGUUUGGGAAUGCUGCUCUAAACGGGAGGUAAACCCCUUCUAAAGCUAAAUACCGGCCAGAGACCGAUAGCGCACAAGUAGAGUGAUCGAAAGAUGAAAAGCACUUUGAAAAGAGAGUUAAACAGCACGUGAAAUUGUUGAAAGGGAAGCGCUUGUGGCCAGACUUGCGCCCGGCGGCUCAGCCGUCCCUCGUGGGCGGUGCACUCCGCCGGGCUCAGGCCAGCAUCAGCUCGCUGCUGGGGAGAAAGGCGGUGGGAACGUGGCUCUUCGGAGUGUUAUAGCCCGCCGCCAUGCCCUCCAGCGGGCUGAGGUUCGCGCCUUAGGGCAAGGAUGCUGGCGUAAUGGCCAUCAGCGACCCGUCUUGAAACACGGACCAAGGAGUCGUCCUAGCAUGCGAGUGUUCGGGUGCCAAACCCCUACGCGAAAUGAAAGUGAACGGAGGUGAGAGCUUCGGCGCAUCAUCGACCGAUCCUGAUGUUUUCGGAUGGAUUUGAGUAGGAGCAUGCUGGGCCGGACCCGAAAGAAGGUGAACUAUGCUUGGAUAGGGCAAAGCCAGAGGAAACUCUGGUGGAGGCUCGCAGCGGUUCUGACGUGCAAAUCGAUCGUCAAAUCUGAGCAUGGGGGCGAAAGACUAAUCGAACCUUCUAGUAGCUGGGUUCC